RNAcentral lists this ribosomal RNA (405 nucleotides) under uncultured bacterium. RNAcentral describes it as "bacterial SSU rRNA". It matches the Rfam family "Bacterial small subunit ribosomal RNA", at positions 354 to 776 of the family's 1533-position model. The record is from RNAcentral.
GUGGGGAAUAUUGGACAAUGGGGGAAACCCUUAUCCAGCGACGCCGCGUGAGGGAAGAAGGUUUUCGGAUUGUAAACCUCUGUCAGCGGGGACGAUAAUGACGGUACCCGCGGAGGAAGCCACGGCUAACUACGUGCCAGCAGCCGCGGUAAUACGUAGGUGGCAAGCGUUGUCCGGAAUUACUGGGUGUAAAGGGAGCGUAGGCGGGGUUUCAAGUCAGAAGUGAAAAUUAUGGGCUCAACUCAUAACCUGCUUUUGAAACUGAAGCUCUUGAGUGAAGUAGAGGCAAGCGGAAUUCCUAGUGUAGCGGUGAAAUGCGUAGAUAUUAGGAGGAACACCAGUGGCGAAGGCGGCUUGCUGGGCUUUUACUGACGCUGAGGCUCGAAAGCGUGGGGAGCAAACAGG